AUGCCGGCCUGGCUUGAAUACGACCAGGCCAUCAAUAACACCCACCCCUAUAAGACAAGUCAUCGAGGCCUCCUCGAAACUGCGCACACAUUUACAACUUCCUGCUGUUCUUUGCAGUACUCUCACCACACAAACACCAAAUAUUGGCCAGAGGAGGAAGAGGAGGAGAUGGAGACGGCGAUCGGUGCGGCAAGCUGGCUCGUCGGCAAGGUGCUGAAUAAGCUGUCCAAUGACUUGGUGUCCUCGUAUGUGGCAAGCACCGAGCUCGGCUUCAACUCCGAGCAGAUCAAAACCAAGCUCAAGUACAUGCAAGGACUGCUGGAUGCGGCUCAGGACAGGGAUGUGAGCAGCAACCGUGGCCUGCAGAGCUUACUGGAGGACCUGAGCAACAAGGCUGAUGAGGCUGAGGAUGUGCUGGACGAGCUCCACUACUUCAUGAUCCAGGACAAGUUGGACGGCACCACGGAGGCAGGCCCGGAUCUGGGCGAUGGCCUACGUGGCCAUGCUCUCCACGGUCGCCAUGCUGCUCGCCACACAAUUGGUAACUGGCUUCCAUGCUUUUCUUGCUCACGUUCUCGUACACAAGAUGAUGGUUGUGGUACUGCUAUUGCUAUUACCAGUAACCCACACAAUGCAACCAAGUCUGAUAGCGGUGAUGAUGGUGGCUGUGUUCUGAAGUUGAAAUUCGAUAGAGUGGCCAUGUCCAACAAAAUCAAGUCAGUAAUAGAGAGCAUACAUAACCUGUGUGAUCCUGUCUCCGACUUGCUGAAUAAAAUCCCAAAUAACAACACAACUAUCACCGUCCAAAGGCUCCACACGGGUUCAACAGUUGCACAAGAUAAACUGUAUGGGAGGGGUGCCAUUUUUGAGAGAACUAUAAAUGCUCUGACCAGUGGCACAUAUGAUGGUGAAACCCUUUCUGUUCUGCCUUUUGUCGGUCCUGGGGGUAUGGGAAAGACAACCUUCACCCAACACUUGUAUAAUGAUAAAAGGGUUGAGGAGCAGUUCACUGUCAGGGUCUGGGUGUGUGUCUCAACUGAUUUUGAUGUGCUCAACCUCAGCCGACAGAUCCUUAGAUGCAUACCUGCAAUUGAAAAAGAACAACACAAGUGUACUGUCGAGACUGCCAAUUUAGACCAGCUUCAGAAAUCCAUUGCAGAGAGACUGAAGACCAAAAGGUUUUUAAUUGUCUUGGAUGAUAUUUGGAAAUGCAAUAGUGAAAGUGAUUGGAAUAACCUUUUAGCUCCAUUUAAAAGGGGGGAAACAAAGGGCAACAUGGUUCUUGUCACCACUAGAUUUCCCUCUAUAGCACAUAUGGUGAAAACAACUGAUCUAGUAGAGCUGCAUGGUCUGGAGCCUAAUGACUUUUUGGAAUUCUUUGAAGUAUGCAUAUUUGGUCAUAGCAAACCUGUGCAUUAUGAAGAUGACCUAAUUGAUGUUGCAAGAGACAUUGUUAAGAAACUAAAGGGUUCACCACUAGCAGCCAAUACAGUUGGUCGGUUAUUAAGGAAUAACAUUUCUCGGGAAUAUUGGAUUAGAGUUCUUGAAAAGAAUGAGUGGCAAAAUGCAAAAAAUGAUGAUGAUAUUAUGCCUUCUCUGAAAAUUAGCUAUGAUUACCUCCCUUUCCUACUAAAAAAAUGUUUUUCAUAUUUUGCUCUGUUCCCUGAAGAUUAUAAGUUUUAUAAUUUGGAAAUUACUAGCUUUUGGACUGCCAUAGGUAUCAUAGACUCUAGUUACCAAAACGAUAAUAAUUAUUUAGAGGAACUAGUAGACAAUGGUUUUCUCAUGAAGGGAGUUGAUAGGUAUGAUGAUCAAUACUAUGUGAUGCACGAUUUAUUGCAUGAACUAUCCCGUAAUGUGUCGUCACAAGAAUGCGUCAAUAUAAGUAGUUUAAGUUUCAGUGCUGAUAACAUCCCACAAUCUAUUCGACAAUUAUCAAUCACCAUAAAUGAUACAUAUGAUGAAAGUUUUGAAGAAGAAAUGGGUAAACUGAAGGGUAGGUUAGACAUUGCAAAUUUGCGGACUUUGAUGAUUUUUGGGUUAUGUAAUGCAAGCAUAGCUAAUGUUUUGAAAGACACAUUUGAGGAAUUGAAGGGCCUCCGAGUAUUAUUUAUAGCAAUCAACAUGCCAACAUCUCUGCCUAACAACUUUUCAAAACUUAUCCACCUUCAAUACCUUAAGAUUGGUUCACCCUAUAACUUAGAAAUGACUUUACCUAGCACCUUGUCUAGAUUUUACCACUUAAAAUUCCUGGACCUACAAGCUUGGAAUGGUAGUAGAAAGUUGCCUACAGACAUUAGCUGCCUUGUGAAUUUACGCCAUUUCAAUUCUUCCAAAAAACUCCACUCCAAUAUUCCCGAGGUUGGAAAGAUGAAGUGCUUACAAGAGCUAAAAGAGUUCCAUGUUAAGAAAGAGGGUGUUGGGUUUGAAUUGAGAGAGCUGGGGGAACUGGGAGAGCUAAAAGGAGAACUCCGCAUAUGCAAUCUUGAAACUGUGGCGUCCAAGGGGGAAGCUAGUGCUGCUAAACUGAAGAAUAAAAAGAAUCUGAAAGGGUUGAAAUUAGUUUGGGGUACGGAGCACCAAACCAUAGAUGAUGAUGUUCUUGAUGGUCUUCAACCACACCCUAAUCUUAGGGUGCUUGGCAUUAUAAAUCCUGGUGUUGCACCUUGUCCUAGAUGGUUGUGUGGUGACAUUAGCACAAAAAGGUUGGAGUCUCUUCAUCUGGAGGGUCUUUCUUGGUGUCCUCUUCCAGCUUUUGAGCAGCUACCACACCUCAGUAGUCUCACUUUGAAAAAUAUUGCUGGGUUGAGUGUGUUCGGGCCUGGCUUUAGUGGUGUUACAGAAAGAAGCUUCAUGCACCUGAAGACACUUGAGUUUGAGAAUAUGCCAGAGCUUGUGGAGUGGGUCGGGGAACCUAAUAGCCAUUUGUUUUCAAGGCUUGAAAGCAUCAAGUUUGGAGGUUGUCCCCUUCUCAGCUUGUUUCCCUUCUUAGAGUGCUCUGGCCUAUUUACCAACCUGUGUAGUCUUCAUAUCGAAAACUGCCCCAAGUUGUCUCAGUUCCCACCCAUGCCUCACACCUCCACAAUAACAGAUAUUCAUGUGAAAAAUGAUGGGUCAGAGCUAUUAUAUGAUGGUAAGCAAUUGAGCAUUGAAGGGUAUGCCGGUACUUUGGCUUUCCACAAUAUGGAUAAAGUAGAGGUUAUGAAAAUUACGGAUGUAUCACACAUUCCGUUUGCAGACCUCCAAAAGCUAAAUUCGUUGACAAGUAUACAUUUCAAGAAAUGCGACGACAUGUUUUCUGCAGAAAUGGCUGACAGUGUUGUCAUCCAUUCAGUUCAGAAUCUUGGUAUAGAGGAAUUACAUAUUACUGGAGAAUUGUUCUCAAAGAUUUUGAAGUGUUUCCCGGCCCUUUCCCAGCUUACCAUGGGAGAGUGUAAGAGCCUUGAACUUCUGCCUGUGGAGGAUGGAGGACUCUUGGGCCUCGAGAUGCUCCAAUCAUUUACAGGAUACAAUUGUGGGAAGCUGUUCUCUCGGUGGCCCAAGGGAGAAGCAGGCGCAGGAGCUCAUGCCAUCAAGCCUUUCCCUGCUUCCCUCAGGGAACUUUGGAUUUCCAUAGAGCCAAGCAUGCAGUCAAUGGGUCUGCUCUCAAACCUCACGUCCCUCACCAGUCUGACCCUGUCAAGUUGUAUGGAAUUGACAAUGGAUGGGUUCAGUCCUCUCAUCACAGUCAACCUCAAGAAAUUUGCCGUAGAUGCUAGGCAUUCGAAGCAAGAGAACAUGUCUAUUGCAGGGGAUCUGCUGUCAGAGAUUGCAAGGAGCAAAUUAGUGCGUGCAGGUUCUUUCCAGCUGGAAGAAAUUUUGGUGGAUAGCAUCUCGGCAGUGCUUACUGCUCCCAUCUGCAGCCACCUUGCCGCAAGCCUCCACACAUUGAUGUUCACUUCUGAUGAGCGGGCAACAACCUUCACGGAAGAGCAAGAGCAAGCUCUGCAGCUCCUCACCUCCCUCAAAAAUCUAGAAUUUCAUGGUUGCAAGAACCUGCAGUCCCUCCCUCAAGGGUUACCUGACCUUUCUUCUCUGACGAAACUAACGAUCGGUAUUUGUGAGAAAAUCCUAUGCAUCCCGCCAGAGUGCUUCCCCGCUUCACUGAAAGGGCUUGGAGUAAUAUCUUGCAGUCCCGAGCAAAUUGAGCAAGCCAGAAAACUGAAAGAAAGUGACCCAUGGUUUUUUGUAAGUGUUGUCUCCCCCUUCCAGACAUACUGA
This 4260-nucleotide ribosomal RNA is filed under the name Triticum aestivum (bread wheat). RNAcentral describes it as "partial small subunit ribosomal RNA". The record is from RNAcentral. Lineage: Eukaryota; Viridiplantae; Streptophyta; Magnoliopsida; Poales; Poaceae.